GAAUACUAAGGUAGGCCUAGUUUUAAACAGUUACUGUAAACUUUUACAAACUGAACUAAUUUUGCAACAUUCUUCAAUGCUUUUGUAUAAGUCUGAGACAUAAUGUCUAUUUCAUUUUAUUUUUUUUUAAGUUUUCUAGGUUUAUAAUUGCAAUUUGAAUUGCAAAGCAAAAAAGCUUGUGUGAUGGCAAUAUUUAACAUAAGACAAAUUUGUUGAUAAGCUCGCAACAUUGUUUUCAGACGAUAAAUAAAUCUAAAUUUUAUUUGGAAAAGAGGUAGAAUGCAACAUUCAAAAAGUGACUUCUAGAUCAAGUCUGUAUAUCUGUCGAAAACCCAAUUGUAAAGUUAAAGCGAUGCAAUCGCCGAGCCCAUAUCUCAAUCUUUCUGAAUAUAUAUGUCAAAGACCGUUCUACAAAUUUGUGACAUUUUCUGUAUUUCUUUUUGUUAAGGCUUUACCUGAAUAUUAGCGCUAACAUUCAGGUAAAGCUAUAGCUACCAAUUAUUUUUUUAAAUAAAACUUUUACUAAUUA
This is a non-coding RNA of Hydra vulgaris (swiftwater hydra), 529 nucleotides long. Lineage: Eukaryota; Metazoa; Cnidaria; Hydrozoa; Anthoathecata; Hydridae. The record is from RefSeq and is a predicted model, not a curated record.